AAUUUUAAGGUCAAGCUACAAAGGGCGCAUGGUGAAUGCCUUGGCACUAGGAGCCGAAGAAGGACGCGAUAAGCUGCGAUAAGCCUUGGGUAGCCGCAAAUAGGCUGAGAUCCAGGGAUUUCCGAAUGAGGAAACUCACAUGGGUAACCCCAUGUAUCAUGCACUGAAUACAUAGGUGUAUGAGGGUAAACCCGGGGAACUGAAACAUCUAAGUACCCGGAGGAAGAGAAAGAAAAAUCGAU
Molecule: ribosomal RNA, 242 nt
Filed under: Clostridium botulinum
Lineage: Bacteria; Bacillati; Bacillota; Clostridia; Eubacteriales; Clostridiaceae
Also listed under: 1 other name
Description: partial 23S ribosomal RNA
Rfam family: Bacterial large subunit ribosomal RNA
Source: RNAcentral